GACGAACGCUGGCGGCGUGCUUAACACAUGCAAGUCGAACGGUAAGGCCCUUCGGGGUACACGAGUGGCGAACGGGUGAGUAACACGUGGGUGAUCUGCCCUGCACUUCGGGAUAAGCCUGGGAAACUGGGUCUAAUACCGGAUAGGACUCCGGACUGCAUGGUCUGGGGUGGAAAGCUUUUGAGGUGUGGGAUGGGCCCGCGGCCUAUCAGCUUGUUGGUGGGGUGAUGGCCUACCAAGGCGACGACGGGUAGCCGGCCUGAGAGGGUGACCGGCCACACUGGGACUGAGAUACGGCCCAGACUCCGACGGGAGGCAGCAGUGGGGAAUAUUGCACAAUGGGCGCAAGCCUGAUGCAGCGACGCCGCGUGAGGGAUGACGGCCUUCGGGUUGUAAACCUCUUUCAGCAUCGACGAAGCGAAAGUGACGGUAGGUGCAGAAGAAGGACCGGCCAACUACGUGCCAGCAGCCGCAGUAA
Molecule: ribosomal RNA, 478 nt
Filed under: uncultured bacterium
Lineage: Bacteria
Description: partial 16S ribosomal RNA
Rfam family: Bacterial small subunit ribosomal RNA
Source: RNAcentral